AGAAAUAAAAACGGUCAGGUUGUAAAGCACCGGGUGCCCGUGCGGUCCAGGAACCGUGCAACGUUAUCACUUACAAUCUCUAUCGAGAAAUAUCGGGGAAAGUUACGCGGUUGCCGAGAAAAUCGUUUCUGGAUUAUACAGAUUUAUUUGCGCCUCCCAGACUUGUACGCUUCGCGAAACAUCACGUUGCCAAAGCAACGUGAAUUUAUUAUAGACACGCGGACAACGCGCGAAAACACAAAUCACGUAAACGUAACGAAAUGGGGGCUUCAUCGCGCGAAUAAUAAUAACGAGUAUAAAUGUAUCGGAACAUUAAGAAAUUGUCAAUAACAUUUUGCGAUGGAAAUAAAAUUAAUGAUACGUCGAAUUUACGGGCGUGUUUUUCGUCUGUGUAUUAAGGUAAUUAUCGCGUCCAUCGAUUGCGAUUGCGUUUCGGUAAUGCGACGAGAUAUUAUCAAUAACUCCUCCAUUGUUGGAGUAAAUUACGCGAGAAAAUUGAGCAACACAGGCCGUUUUUAUUACCAUUUUCCAUCCAUCGUUUCAUUCGCGUAAUCCACUAUUAUGUUUUCUAAUUUGAAACGAGUUCCUAAAGUAACAUUUUCGAAAGCUCCGAUUUAAAUUCAUGUAAAUUGAUACUGAAAUCCCCGCAAUUCUCAAGACGCCAUCUAAAGAAGCUUCCGCAUUCUCCGUACGCGCCCUUGGGAACCACGGUCCCGACACGCAGUAAAAUGUAACUUCGAAUCGAGCCCCCGAUACCGCAAUGCGUAAGAAAACCACGAAGCUCCGUCUGACCUACAAUGCAGGCCACAAGUGAGAAAAGUGCGAUUUGGAAAUAAUUAAGGACAGCCCCGAGAGUUGAGACUGGAAUUAGUUGAAAACCAUUCGAGAUGCCGGAGAGCUAGAUUCGCAUUAGCGCUACCAGAGAAAAGUUUUCAAUCCGCGGAACACACAUUCCAGGGAAUGGCCGACGAAGACGCGGGGAAAAGUCGGAGAUGGAGCAAAAAUCUCCCAGGACCUAGUAGCUGGAUGCAGCACGGCUGCAUUCUGACAGUGACGUAUACGAACUGUGCCACGGUGGCCGGGGGACCUAAAUUGUUUCGAAGUAAAUAGCGCAACGGGAGCCUCGGUGGCUAGCAAAUUGCAUCCACGGCACUUUAGGACGAUAUCCUCCUACGCCCCUUUCGUAACGACCCCUCAGACCGGUCUGCAAUUUAUCUGGCAACGGAUGACCACCGCUGCAAUGCAAGCUCGUUCAGAACCUGUAUUUUAAUGCGUUGCAAGCGGCAAGAAUUUCCUUUAAUCAUCCCUGGAAUUUUAUUUGCUCCCAUUAAUUACGUUAAAAAACCGUUAUCUCGAACAGGUGCCCUACCUCGCUCCGACAUCGCCAAAUAUUAGGUCAUCCCGUAAGUUCCUGCUGCAGACUAUGCCGAUAUUUAAUAAAAAAUUACAGAAAUUUUAUAGUGACGGUAUAAUGACUAUGUGAAAAAGAUGGGAAGAUAUUACGAAAUGAGAGAGAUUAUCUUUUUCUAUAGCACCUAAGGAUAUGUCACACUAAUUUGAGUAGCAGAAGAAUAAGUGUCAUGAACUUUUAGGACGACCUAAUACAUCACGCGUGGGCGAUAAAUACUAAGGGUGGACAGCGCACUGCAUCGUCGAAGACGCUACGUCUAGUCGUUUGCUUGGAAUUUUCGAAUACUCGUCUGUUUCAUAUUUUAUUUACAAUGCUCUUCAUUUCUCACGCUCUUGAGGCGUAACUGCGCCGCAUACCCGCGAGUAAAUGAAUAGAACGCUCUUUAUUGCGUUCAGCGUUGACGCCUAUGAUUUACGCGUAAUACGUCGGUACCAUUUACAUCCUCUUGGAGAGUAAUUUGCACGGAAAGCUGCAGCGAUACAGCAAUGCAGUGGGAGUGCAGGUGCGAGAUGCUAACCGUGCGCUAACGUUAAAUCAAAUAUGUAUCAGGAACGGGUGGGUAGGUAUUAGCCAAGAGAGAUACAUCUGAUUAAUCCUUAAGUGUGCUAAAAUGGCGGUAAUUGCCGAUAAUUAUUGAGGCGAGUCGUAUUAAUUAAAUAUCGCGAACUCUGCUGUAAAUGCGAUCACUAAAAUAAUAAUCUUAACGAAACGGAAGAAAAGAGUCAAAGUUGCCAGAAAAAAACAAGAAAUAUAAUUACCACGAUAACUUCGGCGAUAAACAGUCUUUAAAUUUUCUGGCACCACAGCUUCGAAACCGUUCAAUAAAGGCACGAAGAUGCUCUUUGGGGGGAGCUGAGUGGAGUGGGAAGGACGAAACUACCCGAAACUUCCGUAACGACUAAUCUGAUCCAGAGAGUAGCAAUGCAGCAAGACGCAAACGAAACUAACGCAGCUAUAAUUGCCGCAACACCGUCGUGCACGAGUUAUAGCGAACGGAGAAGCAUACCAUGAAUCCACAGUGAGCGUCGCGAUGUCUCCUUCGGAAGCGAAGGAGAGGCGGACAGAGAGUCACCAAAGAGCCACGCAACUAAACAUGUGUAUUGUCAUCAGAUGGUUUGGUACAAAGCAAAAGGACCACCUACGGGGACAUCGCGACAUGACAGCUGGUCGGUUCUCGUCGUUCUUGGUUAAACUACCCCCUACAAUCUCGGGAUUGUAACAACACUCUAACCCCUCGCCUCGACUAAAUAAAUGCCUCAUUAGUCUCAACGUACAAGAAGCCUGGGAAGAAUGUGGCGGAAUACUUAUCCAUAUAGAAGUUUCGAAUAUCAAGAGAGAAAUAAACAACGCGAACAAAUCAAUUACGUUAGUUUAUUCGUCAUUUAUUGUAUAAUCAGUCAAGCAUUUCUGGUCCCACAAAUUUUGCGAGAACCCUCGAGUCAACUAUAGAAGCCGCAAUGUCACGAGUAACGUAACGCCGAUUCGAAUCUGUGACAUGGAGAUUGGCCAAGUCAAAGGAAACCAUUUUUGGCAGAAUUAUUGGAGUCCGUCCAAAUUAACUAUUUCACCGCGCUGUUAUGCCCCGACUCGGAACUUUCGAAUUAUUACGAGCUUUCUUAGCUUUAUGAACAGCGUUGAAGGGUUAUUUUCAGUCGCUGGUUUCAAACAAAAAUCUACUUUCUACUACAGUUUCUACGAUUUUUAUUUUUAUUUGUAAUUUUGCCUCUCGUUAAAGUAUAAUUGAGGUUAUUAGUCCACCAUCGAACGAUCCCAUAACCGUACUCAACAAUCUUACAUUAAAAUUUCAAACUACACGCUUUUACGGUUCUCGCGCAAAAAAAAAAUUGUACGAAGAACACCUUCCUGCUCUCGAAAAGGAGAAUUAAAUUGAUCAUCGUGCGUUUAUACGCUUCCCGCUGUAUCAUUGAAAUUAAUGAAUUGUCUGCGCAUUUAGAACAGUGGAGGUGAAAGAAUUUCCCAGCAGACGAAGAAAGAUACUCUUGUUUACGACCGCGGCGUUCAUAACGGACAGAGGAGAUGAAUAUUCAUGAAGACGGGGGCCCGUAUAUCAAGGUAACACCAAUUGCGGUUCACUACAAGCGUUUCGCGUCUGCACGCGUGUAUUUAACUUAACGAGCCGGUGCACCCUCGGCAAUUUCUACGUUUCUAACUCCAUUCCCAACAAAUUAACUGCGACGAAUCGAAGACGCCGCUCCACGGGCCAAACGAAACUCUCGAGCAAAAAGUAGUACCGCAAAUUGAAGUUUAGGUUGAAUCGCAUCGCGUACGAACUCAAUUAACCCGCCAAACCAUUACCUCUUCUUUAAAAUUGAAUUUUACUUUCAUCACGUUGUAGUCGAAGAUAUAAACUAAACUAACUCAUUACGCGUUAGAUUUUUCCAAAAUA
Molecule: long non-coding RNA, 3818 nt
Organism: Hylaeus volcanicus
Lineage: Eukaryota; Metazoa; Arthropoda; Insecta; Hymenoptera; Colletidae
Exons: 3
Source: RefSeq, a predicted model, not a curated record